GAACGCGCGACCGGGGCGUGAGGGGAGGCGGCGCGCGCCGGGCUGCGCUCGCUCCGCAGCGCUCACUCCUCAGCGCGGCUCCGUGAGGCGCCGCCUCGCUCAGUGCAGGUCCCAGAUCUCGCAGAGCAGCGAGGGACUGACUUUGGAAAAGGUUUUAUCCACAUUGAUGAGUAAAGUAGGCAGCACGGAAGGAGCACUUACAUUCUGCCAGCAUUCCCACAGCUUUGCACUUCUUCAGGCGACAUUCCUGACACUUCCUUCGCAUGUACAUGUCCAUUUCACAGUGACCACCGUUCUUGCAUCGAUAUACUGCAUUUUUGGUUAUGCUACGUCGAAAGAAGCCUAUGGACAAGGAUGGGUUUAUGACUGAAGGAAUCUAAGCAGCCAGAGUCCCACCGAGGGACGGCACCGAUGGCCCUCGUCCCCCUCGCUUGUCUCUGCUUGGCACGGAAGGCCAGGAUGUCAUCUCUGAAGCCAGGGAAAAGUGAGUAUUAACUCCUAAGUGUAAACACAAGGAAUAGAACAGGCCAGAGAUUCAGCCACACAACCCAGGUGCGGAGUCUGCUGAGGUGUAACGAAGGACCGGAAGGUAAAACAUGCUACAAAGCAUGGUCUGGACCUUGAGUGCCACACAACUUACUAUAAAGCAGCCUUACAUUUCCCAAAUUUGAAAAAUAUAUCUCAUACUUUACUACUUAAUCUGAUUCUGAUUAAAUACUCCAGAUGCUUGCUCUAUUAUCUUCUGGAUUGUAUGAAUGCUUUGAGAUUGUUGCUGAUAUAAAUUUAUCUUAUUCAGCACUUCUGCAGUGUGCUUGAUUAUCUCUGGGAUCAUAAAGAUACUUUUAUCUGAUAAAGCAUCCUGGGUUUUUCUUAUGUGUCUGCCUGAAUGGGAUUUAAACUUGAAAGAUGACUCAUGUCAAAGGGAGUCCUGUUAAAACAUUAUUGUUGAAAACAUUAUUAGUAAGGUUCUUAAUACUAAAUUAAAAAGCUUUGUGGCACAAAGUUAACAAAGCAUCAAGGACAUCACGGAUCACCAACAGUAGCUUUAGUUAGCAAAUAAAUAUCAAAGCAGCAAGUCAGCAUUACAAAGCUUGUUAUUUUAACUUGAGUGGAGGAUGUUUACUGUUAAAAGGGACAAACAAGAAUGUCAGAUAAGAUGACAGCUCAACAGAUCUCAACCCAGAAUUUAUCACACACUGUUUAAGGGAGUAUUUAAAAAGAUUACCCGGACCCCCUGGGGUCAAGGCCAGAUGCCCUUCUGCAAACAGCCUGCCCCACACAGAGCAGCGUCUGUUUGAACCAGAGCCUUUCCACACGGGUUUCCUCUCGCAGAAAAGUGUCGUGAUGCUUCUGAGUCACCACGUCUGAGAACACGGAUCUCUGUGGGUGGAAGAGUUUCUGUCAUGGAGAGAAUGUGCAGUGUUGGGCUGGUAUAAAUAGAAGUGCAUUACGAUGGUGGAGGCAUUAACACAGUGCAGAUCACUUUGCGGUGCUGUUUUCCAAGGGAAGUUGGUGUCUGCUCCCCCCAAAAGUCAGAACCACAGAAUCAUUGUGGCUGGAAGAGCCCCUUAAGAUCAUGGAGUCCAGCUGUUCACCCACCCCUGUCCCUGCCCCAUGUCCUGAGAACCUCAUGUCCGUCUGUCCAGCCCUCCAGGGAUGGCGACUCCAGCACUGCCCUGGGCAGCCUGUUCCAAUGCCCCACAGCCCUUUGGGGAAGAAAUUGUUCCUAAA
Columba livia (rock pigeon) is the source of this 1731-nucleotide long non-coding RNA. RefSeq lists it as uncharacterized. NCBI's taxonomy places the organism in Eukaryota, Metazoa, Chordata, Aves, Columbiformes, Columbidae. The transcript is spliced from 3 exons. The record is from RefSeq and is a predicted model, not a curated record.